GCGAAGGGGCGUCAUCGAGACGGCGGCGUAGAGCGGCUCUUGCAAGCCGCUGGCGCCUUCGCGCGGUCUGUCAGCGUGCCCCGCCAGCCAGGUUAUGGAGCACAAAUGUGAUACUUCUGGAUUCAGCAAGAGUUUCACAACAGCAUUUGUCAACCUUGAAGGAAAGUGUAUCCACACGUGAUACAGACAAGAUAAAGAACUCCUUUCUGCUAACUGGAGAGUCUAAUCGGCUCCAGAACCAGAACCACAACCAGCCCCAUGGAAGCAUUAAGUUCCUCUGAGAGGAGUUCAGCGGCAGCUAUCGGUUUUGCCAAGAAGUCAGGGGAGAAAGGCUGACAUUUCAAUCGUAUCAGUUAUGGACUCGCAAAACAGGCCCUCUAAACGAAAAAAUAAGGAAAGACUCAUCCCUGAUCCCUGCAGGAGGCUGUGCAGCUGCACCACGUUCUGCAGGAAGACAUGCUACGUGAGCUACCACCGCUCAGUGAGGUGGUGAGCCCCAACCUCGUAAAUCUAAGACUUCUAAGAAUUCUAUGUCAAAUAAAUAAAAUGC
Molecule: long non-coding RNA, 550 nt
Organism: Centrocercus urophasianus (Greater sage-grouse)
Lineage: Eukaryota; Metazoa; Chordata; Aves; Galliformes; Phasianidae
Exons: 3
Source: RefSeq, a predicted model, not a curated record